RNAcentral lists this long non-coding RNA (721 nucleotides) under Xyrichtys novacula (pearly razorfish). The record is from RNAcentral. Lineage: Eukaryota; Metazoa; Chordata; Actinopteri; Labriformes; Labridae.
CUUCUACUUUCACAGGACUGAGUCUGCCGCCUUCGAUUAUUUUUUCCAUCAUACUUAUUUCUGUGAGUACUGUGAUACAAUGAGUGCUUGUACACUUGUUGAACACUAUUAUCUGUACAAGUAUUAUCAAUAGCCUACAAAUGGCAUAAACUAUGACUUGUAAAUACCAUCCGUGAUUUGUUCUCAUGGCUCCAUGGAAACCUUUUUAAUACUAAAAGGGUUUUAGAGGCACAGGGAGACAGUUUUAAAAAGCUAGCCCUUCAAACUGUGGUCUCCACCUGAGCUAUUGUUCCUCUCUGUCUUAGCUUUCAUGUAGCCUCAAGGAAUGAAUUACAUUGCUAAUGACAACCCUGUCUUUGCUCCCUAUCUCUCCCCUGCUCACUUUGUUCAUGUCUGCCUCAACGUCUGGCCCUGUCUUUCUUUUGAUGUCCUUUUACCCGCCUCAUGAGAUUUUCUCCGAUUGAUGGUCACUCCAGGGCUUUACUCACUGUUUAGCACUUUGCAACCUCUCCUCCAUUCAUAAUCAACCAAAUCUUCAAAUUCACGAUGAGGCAUUGCAGCCAUGACACUUCAGGGUAAUUUCUACUGAAACUGGGUGAUUUUUUUUAAGUUUUGUUUCUGGACUUCUUUUACCAUGUCAGUUUCCAGAAACAGAUAAAACUUAUACUAUGAUGUCUUGUAGCCAAGUGAUAAAGAUAUUCUCCCCUAUAGCCCAUGUGGG